GUCGAGAAUAAUUCACAAUGGGGGAAACCCUGAUGGUGCAACGCCGCGUGGAGGAUGAAGGUCUUCGGAUUGUAAACUCCUGUCAUCUGGGAGUAAGACCUGACGGUGAAUAGCCGGCAGGGUUGAUAGUACCAGAAGAGGAAGGGACGGCUAACUUCGUGCCAGCAGCCGCGGUAAUACGAAGGUCCCAAGCGUUGUUCGGAAUCACUGGGCGUAAAGGGAGCGUAGGCGGCGUGGUAAGUCAGAUGUGAAAUCCCGGGGCUCAACCCCGGAACUGCAUCCGAUACUGCCAUGCUUGAGGGUUGGAGAGGUAGCUGGAAUUCUCGGUGUAGCAGUGAAAUGCGUGGAUAUCGAGAGGAACACUCGUGGCGAAGGCGAGCUACUGGACAACAUCUGACGCUGAGGCUCGAAGGCCAGGGGAGCAAAAGGGAUUAGAAACCCGUGUAGUCC
This 450-nucleotide ribosomal RNA is filed under the name uncultured bacterium. Its description in RNAcentral is "bacterial SSU rRNA". It matches the Rfam family "Bacterial small subunit ribosomal RNA", at positions 354 to 796 of the family's 1533-position model. The record is from RNAcentral.